CGGCGUGCCUAAUACAUGCAAGUCGAGCGGACAGAAGGGAGCUUGCUCCCGGAUGUUAGCGGCGGACGGGUGAGUAACACGUGGGUAACCUGCCUGUAAGACUGGGAUAACUCCGGGAAACCGGAGCAAUACCGGAUAGUUCCUUGAACCGCAUGGUUCAAGGAUGAAAGACGGUUUCGGCUGUCACUUACAGAUGGACCCGCGGCGCAUUAGCUAGUUGGUGGGGUAAUGGCUCACCAAGGCGACGAUGCGUACCGACCUGAGAGGGUGAUCGGCCACACUGGGACUGAGACACGGCCCAGACUCCUACGGGAGGCAGCAGUAGGGAAUCUUCCGCAAUGGACGAAAGUCUGACGGAGCAACGCCGCGUGAGUGAUGAAGUUUUCGGAUCGUAAAGCUCUGUUGUUAGGGAAGAACAAGUGCGAGAGUAACUGCUCGCACCUUGACGGUACCUAACCAGAAAGCCACGGCUAACUACGUGCCAGCAGCCGCGGUAAUACGUAGGUGGAAGCGUUGUCCGGAAUUAUUGGGCGUAAAGGGCUCGCAGGCGGUUUCUUAAGUCUGAUGUGAAAGCCCCCGGCUCAACCGGGGAGGGUCAUUGGAAACUGGGAAACUUGAGUGCAGAAGAGGAGAGUGAAUUCCACGUGUAGCGGUGAAAUGCGUAGAGAUGUGGAGGAACACCAGUGGCGAAGGCGACUCUCUGGUCUGUAACUGACGCUGAGGAGCGAAAGCGUGGGGAGCGAACAGGAUUAGAUACCCUGGAGUCCACGCCGUAAACGAUGAGUGCUAAGUGUUAGGGGGUUCCGCCCCUUAGUGCUGCAGCUAAC
Molecule: ribosomal RNA, 827 nt
Filed under: Bacillus safensis
Lineage: Bacteria; Bacillati; Bacillota; Bacilli; Caryophanales; Bacillaceae
Description: bacterial SSU rRNA
Rfam family: Bacterial small subunit ribosomal RNA
Source: RNAcentral